UGGCAUAAUGGUUGAAGCACUCAGCUGCUAACUGAAAGUUCGGUGGUUCGAACCCACC
This 58-nucleotide transfer RNA is filed under the name Loxodonta africana (African savanna elephant). It matches the Rfam family "tRNA", at positions 8 to 63 of the family's 71-position model. Rfam says of the family: Transfer RNA (tRNA) molecules are approximately 80 nucleotides in length. The record is from Rfam by way of RNAcentral. Lineage: Eukaryota; Metazoa; Chordata; Mammalia; Proboscidea; Elephantidae.